UACGAACGCUGGCGGCGUGCUUAACACAUGCAAGUCGAGCGGGAACCUCGGGAGGGGUAACCCUUCCGAGGGGAGAGCGGCGAACGGGUGAGUAACACGUGGGCAACCUGCCCCGGACACCGGGAUAACCCAGGGAAACCUGAGCUAAUACCGGAUACUCCGGCGUGAUCGCAUGGUCGUGCCGGGAAAGCUCCGACGGUCCGGGAUGGGCCCGCGGCCUAUCAGCUUGUUGGUGGGGUAACGGCCUACCAAGGCGACGACGGGUAGCUGGUCUGAGAGGACGGCCAGCCACACUGGGACUGAGACACGGCCCAGACUCCUACGGGAGGCAGCAGUGGGGAAUCUUGCGCCAAUGCGCGAAAGCGUGACGCAGCGACGCCGCGUGCGGGAUGAAGGCCCUCGGGUCGUAAACCGCUUUCGGCAGGGACGAAGCGAAAGUGACGGUACCUGCAGAAGAAGUCCCGGCUAACUACGUGCCAGCAGCCGCGGUAACACGUAGGGGACGAGCGUUGUCCGGAUUCAUUGGGCGU
This 530-nucleotide ribosomal RNA is filed under the name uncultured bacterium. RNAcentral describes it as "bacterial SSU rRNA". It matches the Rfam family "Bacterial small subunit ribosomal RNA", at positions 28 to 561 of the family's 1533-position model. The record is from RNAcentral.